This 434-nucleotide ribosomal RNA is filed under the name uncultured bacterium. RNAcentral describes it as "partial 16S ribosomal RNA". It matches the Rfam family "Bacterial small subunit ribosomal RNA", at positions 29 to 507 of the family's 1533-position model. The record is from RNAcentral.
AGCGAACGCUGGCGGCAGGCCUAACACAUGCAAGUCGAACGAACCUUUCGGGGUUAGUGGCGGACGGGUGAGUAACACGUGGGAACGUGCCUUUAGGUUCGGAAUAACUCAGGGAAACUUGUGCUAAUACCGAAUGUGCCCUUCGGGGGAAAGAUUAAUCGCCUUUAGAGCGGCCCGCGUCUGAUUAGCUAGUUGGUUGAGGUAAUGGCUCACCAAGGCGACGAUCAGUAGCUGGUCUGAGAGGAUGAUCAGCCACAUUGGGACUGAGACACGGCCCAAACUCCUACGGGAGGCAGCAGUGGGGAAUCUUGCGCAAUGGGCGAAAGCCUGACGCAGCCAUGCCGCGCGAAUGAUGAAGGUCUUAGGAUUGUAAAAUUCUUUCACCGGGGACGAUAAUGACGGUACCCGGAGAAGAAGCCCCGGCUAACUUCGUG